RNAcentral lists this long non-coding RNA (1739 nucleotides) under Cucumis sativus (cucumber). RNAcentral describes it as "long non-coding RNA (CSAT_LNC000920)". The record is from RNAcentral. Lineage: Eukaryota; Viridiplantae; Streptophyta; Magnoliopsida; Cucurbitales; Cucurbitaceae.
GGAUUUUUUGGUUUCUUACAUUGUUUUUAGUUCUGAUUCUUUUUGUUUCUUUUUUUCUUUCCUUUUCGGACUUUGGUUUAGUGUUAAGCAGUCUAACGAUGGGCAACAAGCGCGGAAAACUUGUGCUGGUGUAUCCUCUGUAAGUUCUACCGUUACCUCCCCUGGAGGACAAAACGGUUCUUAUGGACAGCCGCAACAGAAUGGUAUGGAUUCAUUCAGAAAAAAAAAAAAACAUAAAGUUGACAUUUCAUAUAUCGUUUUCAAGGGGAGCUAUUCAAUUGCUUUAUAAGUGAAAUGUAAUCUUUUGAUCAGUCUUAUGAGUUUAUUAUUGUUAAGGGCUUUUCUUUUGAAUCUUCUUUCUGUACAUUUUUUGUGUGUUGAUUAUGAAAUACGAGUUUAAUGCACUGCUCUGCUUGCAGGGUCAGCAUCCAAUCCAAUAAAACUGUCAGGAUCUGAAAACGGGGCUGUUUUUAAAAUCGCAACUUCUCAGACGACCUCAAAGACUUUUGAUGCAUUUUCAGAUUCCAAGAGCGGAAUUGUUCAACAUAUUGCAACUUCUAAGCCUACCUCAAGACCUUCCGACACCAUCUCCUUUAAAGGUAAGCUGAGUAAAUUUAUUUUGGUUAGUUCAAUGGUAGUAUUUUUGUUGGUUGGGAUGCUAAUCAUGGUUAUUUUUCAUAUUCUAGACUUGGGAGAACAGCAUGUAACAUUUCCACUUCAAUUUGGAUCCUUAAGUCCCGGUUUCCAGGUGUUCUACCCAUUCUAUGACUAUUUAGUAACGUUGCCAUGAUAUAUAUUACUAGUUUUUCAAUUUAAUUCCUGGUGGUUAAUAAAUUAUAUGAUUAUAUCUUUUGUGAGGAUUGACACUUUGGUAUUUCAGAUUCCUUGGACCAGCUCAGCUCCUUCAAAUCUGCAAGAACCGAUAUUUAACCAGGUUAGAAUGCGUCUUUUCAACAGAUGCUACUGUCUUGAUAUAUGGGUUACCAGUGGCCGAGAGCUCUGGCACUCAUUAAAUAUUUUUUUUUGAGUGUUUGAUUAUGGCUUUCAUAAAUCUUGAGCAUAGCAAUUGUCUAAAUCUGUUGGCAUGUAUGUCCCAUGGUCAUUUCUACUUCUUUCGGAUGGUAUUUCAGUAUGCAUGGCCUAAGCUUGAGAUUUUAACGUUUCUGCUCAUGCUCAGUUGACAUGAUUUAUUCACUGCUAAUUAUGGUUCCUGUUUCUUUUUCUUGGCAACUUGAUUGGUUUAUCUUUAUUCUUAUCAGCUGUUCUUACCUGCUAGGCACCACGCCACUUGUUUAAAUCUGCACCUUCGGGGUCAGUGCUGCCAGUACCCAAACAACAAAUAGCAAGAAAUGAUUCCAGUGUCUGUGAUCAACCAAAUAUUGGAACGUCCAAUCCAGAGCCAGAGACCAAAACAGAGAUAGAAGUCUUGUCAAGAGCACCCUUAAACCAGAUUCGUAAGCCUUCCCAUGAAUCAUCCGUUAGUCACAGAGCUUCUGUUUCCCUCCCUGAUAACAAGAGUAUGAAUGUUGUGCAUCAUAUUGCCGAUAUCCCUAAUGUGAAAGAAGUCCAAGUUCAAGAUGAGAACUCUACUUCCUCAGCAGCAAAGCAUGUGGCAAUGCAGUCUCUUCCUGGGUCUUUGACGCAGGCCAUCUACUCAUGUCCUAAAGAAAGCCUGUCUAGGACCAACAAAAUUAAGGCCGAUAAUAAAGUAACAGGCAAGAAAGGACUGGUUCAACAUC